GUGGGGAAUCUUGCGCAAUGCGCGAAAGCGUGACGCAGCAACGCCGCGUGGGGGAAGAAGGCUUUCGGGUUGUAAACCCCUUUCAGUUGGGACGAAGCUUCGACGGUGAAUAGCCGGACGGAGUGACGGUACCUUCACAAGAAGCACCGGCUAACUACGUGCCAGCAGCCGCGGUAAUACGUAGGGUGCAAGCGUUGUCCGGAAUUAUUGGGCGUAAAGAGCGUGUAGGCGGCCCGAUUAGUCCGCUGUGAAAGUCCAGGGCUCAACCCUGGAAUGCCGGUGGAUACUGUCGGGCUAGAGUCCGGAAGGGGCGAGUGGAAUUCCUGGUGUAGCGGUGAAAUGCGCAGAUAUCAGGAGGAACACCAAUGGCGAAGGCAGCUCGCUGGGACGUGACUGACGCUGAGACGCGAAAGCGUGGGGAGCAAACAGGAUUAGAAACCCCUGUAGUCC
RNAcentral lists this ribosomal RNA (450 nucleotides) under uncultured bacterium. RNAcentral describes it as "bacterial SSU rRNA". It matches the Rfam family "Bacterial small subunit ribosomal RNA", at positions 354 to 796 of the family's 1533-position model. The record is from RNAcentral.